CUGCUCAGGAGCGGAAAGCAGCAGCGUUAGAGGUC
Molecule: non-coding RNA, 35 nt
Filed under: Rhodomonas lens
Lineage: Eukaryota; Cryptophyceae; Pyrenomonadales; Pyrenomonadaceae
Source: RNAcentral